Long non-coding RNA from Mytilus californianus (California mussel), 1061 nucleotides. RefSeq lists it as uncharacterized. NCBI's taxonomy places the organism in Eukaryota, Metazoa, Mollusca, Bivalvia, Mytilida, Mytilidae. The record is from RefSeq and is a predicted model, not a curated record. The transcript is spliced from 3 exons.
ACAAAGAAAAGAAAAAUAUGAUUUUCAAACAGAUUGUCAAUCUGAUUAUGAUCAACGGUUGACCGACAACAAGAUACAGAGGGAGUGUGAGACUAUCUGUUUAUAUCAUUAUGUUAGAAAACAAGUCCAUUACGUCACUUCGAUAAUCAAAAAUGUACAAACUGUCAAAUUAGAUGGCAUAAUGCUGAUUAUCACACUAUAUAAAAUUGAGGAAAUUGAAAAAUGGUCAGCCUUUUUUAUUUGUAAAUAAAAAGACAAACGAACAGAGUUUCGCAAGGAAAUAAAACAUUGCAGUCUGAAUCUAUUAGCCUAGACUGGGAAGUGAACUACCUUACUAGAGGACAGUUUAAAGUGUACAAUUAAACAAUGAUGCGUCGUUUAUAAAAGUAAAGGAAAAUAGUUGACGUUUAAGAAAAGAUGACUAAAAUGUUUCAAACUAUGUAUAUUGAUGCUUCAUUUAAUUUGUGGUUAGUCUAUAUAUAAUGAUUUAAUAUCCCUGUUACUUAUAUUGACAGACGCGAAAUUUCAAUAAUGAGUAAGGCACAGAUAUAAAAUAAAAGAAAUAGUAAUGCAGUCUCAGAUGCUUAAUGUAAAUAAAAAAAGUUUUUUUUUGAAGAUUUGCGUUAGUUCGUUCAAAUUACUCCUAUUUUUUUCGACGCAGAUAUAUAGCAAUCUGCAGUACCAAAAACAUCAGUUCCAACAAAUGUUUUGUCUCAAUAAGUGCGAAUUUCCUAUAUUAUAGAACAUGAUGCAAAAUUAUAAAAAUCCAUCAGUGUUCCACAACAACCUCAAAUACAUUAACCUUUUUGAUUCAUAUGCAGUAUAUAUGCAGUCUCCUUUAAUGUCAAACUUAGAAUGGAUCUUUCUUGUCGCACUAAUGUAGGUAAAUCUAUUCAAAUUUUUAAAUUUUUGAUACAUUCAACCGAUCGUAUCGCUUCGUUGUCAGGUUGUUCUUCAAUCAACGGAAAACAAAUACAACAUUAGCUAUAGCCGUCCGCCUUUUUAUUUCAAUACACACCAGCAGACGACGUAUGUCAUAUCAAAACAGACAAAAACGUAUA